GGACUACUGGGGUUUCUAAUCCUGUUCGCUACCCACGCUUUCGCUUCUCAGCGUCAGUUACUGCCCAGAGACCCGCCUUCGCCACCGGUGUUCCUCCUGAUAUCUGCGCAUUUCACCGCUACACCAGGAAUUCCAGUCUCCCCUGCAGUACUCUAGUCCGCCCGUAUCGCCCGCAAGCUCACAGUUGAGCUGUGAGUUUUCACGAGCGACGCGACGGACCGCCUACAAGCUCUUUACGCCCAGUAAUUCCGGACAACGCUCGCACCCUACGUAUUACCGCGGCUGCUGGCAC
This 292-nucleotide ribosomal RNA is filed under the name uncultured bacterium. RNAcentral describes it as "partial 16S ribosomal RNA". The record is from RNAcentral.